RNAcentral lists this long non-coding RNA (420 nucleotides) under Linum usitatissimum (flax). RNAcentral describes it as "long non-coding RNA (LUSI_LNC001503)". Lineage: Eukaryota; Viridiplantae; Streptophyta; Magnoliopsida; Malpighiales; Linaceae. The record is from RNAcentral.
UCUAACAAAGUUUAGCAUAAUCAUUGACAACCUUAUAUUAAUGAAACUAACUUUUUGCCACACGGAACACAAAGGCAUUUCGGAAAAGAAAUCAUAUGAAGGCAGUAGAGUUGUGCACCAAACUAUACGGGAUAACAUCGAUGUAACAAAAGAUGAGACUUCUAUGCAGUAAAUGAUGGCCGAUGUAAGCAUAAUCAUAGCUAACUUUGGGAAAAGGUUUUGCAUAUCAACUAUCACCAAAGGCAUAAGAGGAAGAGAAGCAUUUCAAGUGAAGUUAUGGAAGAAAAGCAAUCGGAUGCAGGGCAAAGUAUACCUAUGCACCAAACUAAAAGAGAUAACAUUCAUUUAACGAAAGCUGAAAGACUAUAUGUGCAGUAAAACUCGUACUCAAACGAUGGAUGAUUCUAACUUACUAAGCAU